GAUGAACGCUGGCGGCGUGCCUAAUACAUGCAAGUCGAGCGAACAGACGAGGAGCUUGCUCCUCUGACGUUACCGGCGGACGGGUGAGUAACACGUGGAUAACCUACCUCUAAGACUUGGAUAACUUCGGGAAACCGGAGCUAAUACCAGAUAAUAUAUUUAACCGCAUGGUUCAAUAGUGAAAGACGGGUUUGCUGUCACUUCUCGAUGGAUCCGCGCCUCAUUAGCUAGUUGGUAAGGUAACGGCUUAACAAGGGAACGGUGCGUAGCCGACCUGAGGGGGUGAAGCGGCACACAGGAGGUGAGACACGGUACAGACUCCUACGGGAGGCAGCGGUAGGGAAUCGUCCGCGCUGGGGGGAAGCCUGACGGAGCAACGCAGCGCGAGUGAUGAAGGGCUGCGGACCGUAUGACGCUGUUAGUAGGGAAGAACGAAUGCGUAAGUAACGAUGCACGUCUUGACGGUACCUAAUCAGAAAGCCACGGCUAACUACGUG
This 497-nucleotide ribosomal RNA is filed under the name uncultured bacterium. Its description in RNAcentral is "partial 16S ribosomal RNA". It matches the Rfam family "Bacterial small subunit ribosomal RNA", at positions 28 to 507 of the family's 1533-position model. The record is from RNAcentral.